RNAcentral lists this ribosomal RNA (257 nucleotides) under uncultured Glomus. RNAcentral's name for it is "partial 18S ribosomal RNA". It matches the Rfam family "Eukaryotic small subunit ribosomal RNA", at positions 624 to 886 of the family's 1831-position model. Lineage: Eukaryota; Fungi; Glomeromycota; Glomeromycetes; Glomerales; Glomeraceae. The record is from RNAcentral.
AAGCUCGUAGUUGAAUUUCGGGAUCAGACUGUCGGUCGUGCCUCGGUACGCACUGGCAUUAUUGGUUCCUACCUUCUGAAGAACCGCGAUGUCACUAAUUUGGUGUCGCGGGGAAUCAGGACUGUUACUUUGAAAAAAUUAGAGUGUUUAAAGCAGGCUUACGCUUGAAUACAUUAGCAUGGAAUAAUGAGAUAGGACGUUUGAUUCUAUUUUGUUGGUUUCUAGGAUCGACGUAAUGAUUAAUAGGGAUAGUUGGG